This 68-nucleotide transfer RNA is filed under the name Mantophryne lateralis (Victoria Archipelago frog). RNAcentral's name for it is "tRNA-Arg". The record is from RNAcentral. Lineage: Eukaryota; Metazoa; Chordata; Amphibia; Anura; Microhylidae.
GAAUAGCUAGUUUAACCAAAACACUUGAUUUCGGCUCAAAUAAUUAUGAUUUAUUUCAUAGCUUUUCU